Non-coding RNA from Cricetulus griseus (Chinese hamster), 73 nucleotides. The record is from Rfam. Lineage: Eukaryota; Metazoa; Chordata; Mammalia; Rodentia; Cricetidae.
GGUUCCAUAGUGUAGUGCUUAUCACAUCUGCUAUACACACAGAAGGUCCUGGGUUCAAGCCCCAAUGGAGCCA